Molecule: non-coding RNA, 2498 nt
Organism: Pseudonaja textilis
Lineage: Eukaryota; Metazoa; Chordata; Lepidosauria; Squamata; Elapidae
Source: RefSeq, a predicted model, not a curated record
AAAUAAAAUCUAGCCUACUUUCUCCUUAUAGAUUCUUGUACCUGAGAAACAGUGUCUCAAGAAUACCGAACAUAAGUAAAUGGGUGGCACAAGUGUCGAGUGGUCUUUCUAAAACCCAAAAGUGUGAAGCAGCAUUGUGCACACUGCAAAUGAGAUACAGCCUUGAUACCCUAAAAAGUCCAUAUACCAACUGACAGGCACACUUUGGUAGCACUUUAGCUUGAGACUGCAGGCAACGUUUAUAAAUCAAGAGUAAUCAAUACAAAACCCGACAAAAGUCUGAGAAUCCAUACUAGUCUAGAUCUCCUAAGCCACAAUUGUUUGCCAGUCUCCUGUCUCUUAUAUAUAGUUUCCAAUACUGGCGAAGUGGGAAAGAGGAGAUGGAGAGUAAGAGUCCCUCUGGAGAAUACUGCCUCUCAACUGUAUGCACAGAUUAAGUUUCUAUAACACUGAUUACACAAGCAAUGAAAAUAAAAAGUUGAAGUCGUUAGUUCAGCUUCACUAGAGAUAUCGUAGCUUCUAGCCCAAAAGAGAAGCUGGAUGAAUGAGUAAAAUAAACACACAAAGAGGCAUGGAAUCAGUUGCUCAGCAAUACUCACUUAGGCAUAUCUACUGAGUAAAAUAGCCUCAGCAUUUUGGUUGCAACAUUUCUCAAAGAUAUACUAACUAAAAACUGCUAGAGAGUAGUUUUCAUGCAUAUUUGAGGUCAGAGGUGCUAAAUUUAAGAUGCAAAAAAGAGAUCCAACCAAUUUCAUAGUAACUUGUAUUUUCAGUACGCUCGUCAUGUAUUCAGCUCUUUAGAAUUCGAUUCCAGACAUUUAUUUUCCCUCUAUUUUCAGAAGCACCUGUUUCAACUAUCCUUUUCCAAUUUUAAAGAAUUUACCUAUUCAUUUUCUGAUCUCUACAAAAGGUAUUUUUCAUUAAAAAUGUAGAUAUCUGAUUGCUAGGAUAAUAUAGGAUAGAAUAUGCUUCCGUUCUGUCACAAUUUAAGUAAAAUCCGUAAUAAGUUCAUUAGGAAUUUCCUAUUAUGUUACUGAACAUGAAAAAUAAUUGAACAAUAGUGCACCUGAUGCUACAGUCUUCGCUUAACUUCAUUAAUUGCUCAUUCACUUCAGGAAACUCUGUAGCCAUUAAUCGGGUGCUUGAAUGCUUAAUUUUUAUUUUGGAAAGAAAAUAAGAAAAUGCUCAGGGAGAACUGAAACAUUUUAUUACUGCAUCCUCCCUUUACUAUUGCAAUUAUCUAAGCCCCCUCUAGGAUCUCAAGUUAGGGGAUUUGCUCUAUAACUGAUCACCCAUGUCAAAAAUUUUCCUAUUAAAUCCUAGGAGAGAUCUGUUGUCAGAAUUCUAGCAAUCCAUAGGAUCCCAGAGGGUCCUGUAAUGAGAUGAGUAUUGCUGGCAAAGUCUCAUGUCCUGAAAAGAAGAGUUAGAGUGGAUAGGUAAAAACAACAAAAUGGAUUACAAAUGAUUAAUUUCCUAUUAAUUUUCAAAUUGGUAAUUCUUUCAUCCAUCCCUCUGCAGUGGAGCUUCUUACACAGGUAAUGUAAGCAGAAAUUUAACUUUUAAGCAUAGCUUUAAGCACCAGGGUUCAAGCAAUAAGCUCACUGCAGAGGCAAAACUGAAUGUAAUUUCUACUUCUUCAGUAACCCACUUCAAAGUCCAAGUGGAUCUAUUGAAUUACAUCCUUUGUGCAGAAGAUCGUUUAACAUGCCUUCAAGGUCCAUUUUAAGGCAGCCAAAUGUUUCAAUCAAAAAGGGGAGAAAGUUAAAUGGAACUGAAAAUGUAAAAUUAUUUAAGAAGUUAAAGAACAGAAUAAGGCACACAAUUUUAAAAGAAUUUUGGUAAAGGAAAAUAUAUCGAUGCACGUCAAAGAAAAUACAUACUUGGCAAAAGAUAAAAUGAAGCUAAGCUGGCAAGGGAGGCAAAGAUCAAGGCACCCAAUAAAGAGGACAGAAUGAACACUGUCACUCCAACUGCAGGGUUUGAAAGUUACAACAUGCCAGGGGGAGGACUACAGGGUUUCUGCUGUGGUGAGGAAGACCCAAGUAGAGACAAAACCAAUAGGGUAAAAAGUACGGCGGAAAAUUUCACAAUGAAAUGGUCUUAAAAUUUUGCUUUGGGGAGUGAGAGCAGGUCAGUAAACACUUUGGCUCACACCAAGGGAGGAGCAACGAUGUUAAGCCUUCCACCCACAGCCCAUCAAAUAUCCAAACGCAGAUGAGUGUGCCUACAGCUAUUCUGGACGACAACUUCUAAGGCAUACAACUGCCACCACGGUUGAGGGCAAUGUAUUGUAGUCCACGCCCCUAUUUGCUUUUGAAUCAGCUGCUGGACUUUGAUUUUAGACACUCCAUUUCAGGGAGGAAAAAAAAAAUCAGCAUUUGAAGCUUCAGCACAAGAUUUUUGGGGGAAGAAAUAGUUCAGAGAGAAGCAAGAUCAGAAAUUGGAAGGAAGCAAAAAAUAAAUGAGAUAAGUUGGAUAGAAAAUAUUACAAGGCUUCC